RNAcentral lists this ribosomal RNA (451 nucleotides) under uncultured bacterium. RNAcentral's name for it is "partial 16S ribosomal RNA". It matches the Rfam family "Bacterial small subunit ribosomal RNA", at positions 29 to 523 of the family's 1533-position model. The record is from RNAcentral.
AACGAACGCUGGCGGCAGGCUUAACACAUGCAAGUCGAACGGGUGUAGCAAUACAUCAGUGGCAGACGGGUGAGUAACACGUGGGAACCUUCCUAGGGGUACGGAACAACUCAGGGAAACUUGAGCUAAUACCGUAUACGUCCGUGAGGAGAAAGAUUUAUCGCCCUUAGACGGGCCCGCGUCGGAUUAGCUAGUUGGUGGGGUAACGGCCUACCAAGGCGACGAUCCGUAGCUGAUCUUAGAGGGUGAUCAGCCACACUGGGACUGAGACACGACCCAAACGCCUACGGGAGGCAGCAGUGGGGAAUCUUGGACAAUGGGCGCAAGCCUGAUCCAGCCAUGCCGCGUGAGUGAAGAAGGUCUUCGGAUUGUAAAGCUCUUUUGCCAGGGACGAUAAUGACGGUACCUGGAGAAUAAGCCCCGGCAAACUUCGUGCCAGCAGCCGCGGUAA